UGCAAGUCGANCGGGAAUCUUCGGAUUCUAGUGGCGGACGGGUGAGUAACGCGUAAGAAUCUAACUUCAGGACGGGGUCAACAGUUGGAAACGACUGCUAAUACCCGAUGUGCCGAAAGGUGAAACCUAAUUGGCCUGGAGAAGAGCUUGCGUCUGAUUAGCUAGUUGGUGGGGUAAAGGCCUACCAAGGCGACGAUCAGUAACUGGUCUGAGAGGAUGAGCAGCCACACUGGGACUGAGACACGGCCCAGACUCCUACGGGAGGCAGCAGUGGGGAAUUUUCCGCAAUGGGCGAGAGCCUGACGGAGCAACGCCGCGUGAGGGAGGAAGGUCUUUGGAUUGUAAACCUCUUUUCUCAAGGAAGAAGUUCUGACGGUACUUGAGGAAUCAGCCUCGGCUAACUCCGUGCCAGCAGCCGCGGUAAUACGGGGGAGGCAAGCGUUAUCCGGAAUUAUUGGGCGUAAAGCGUCCGCAGGUGGUCAGCCAAGUCUGCCGUCAAAUCAGGUUGCUUAACGACCUAAAGGCGGUGGAAACUGGCAGACUAGAGAGCAGUAGGGGUAGCAGGAAUUCCCAGUGUAGCGGUGAAGUGCGUAGAGAUUGGGAAGAACAUCGGUGGCGAAAGCGUGCUACUGGGCUGUAUCUGACACUCAGGGACGAAAGCUAGGGGAGCGAAAGGGAUUAGAUACCCCUGUAGUCCUAGCCGUAAACGAUGGAUACUAGGCGUGGCUUGUAUCGACCCGAGCCGUGCCGAAGCUAACGCGUUAAGUAUCCCGCCUGGGGAGUACGCACGCAAGUGUGAAACUCAAAGGAAUUGACGGGGGCCCGCACAAGCGGNGGAGUAUGUGGNUUAAUUCGAUGCAACGCGAAGAA
RNAcentral lists this ribosomal RNA (870 nucleotides) under uncultured bacterium. RNAcentral describes it as "bacterial SSU rRNA". It matches the Rfam family "Bacterial small subunit ribosomal RNA", at positions 56 to 968 of the family's 1533-position model. The record is from RNAcentral.